AAACGUAGGAGACGAGCGUUAUCCGGAUUUACUGGGCGUAAAGAGCGUGUAGGAGGCGGUACAAGUUGGAUGUGAAAGCUCCCGGCUUAACUGGGAGAGGUCGUUCAAGACUGUGCAGCUAGAGGGAAGCAGAGGUAGACGGAACUCCGGGAGUAGUGGUGAAAUGCGUAGAUAUCCGGAAGAACACCAGAGGCGAAAGCGGUCUACUGGGCUUUACCUGACACUGAGACGCGAAAGCCAGGGUAGCAAACGGGAUUAGAGACCCCGGUAGUCCUGGCCGUAAACGAUGCAGACUGGGCGUUUAUUGGGUAAAACCGAUGAGUGCCGAAGCAAACGCGAUAAGUCUGCCGCCUGGGGAGUACGGUCGCAAGAUUAAA
This 377-nucleotide ribosomal RNA is filed under the name uncultured bacterium. RNAcentral describes it as "bacterial SSU rRNA". It matches the Rfam family "Bacterial small subunit ribosomal RNA", at positions 523 to 898 of the family's 1533-position model. The record is from RNAcentral.